This 232-nucleotide ribosomal RNA is filed under the name uncultured bacterium. RNAcentral's name for it is "partial 16S ribosomal RNA". It matches the Rfam family "Bacterial small subunit ribosomal RNA", at positions 99 to 334 of the family's 1533-position model. The record is from RNAcentral.
CGGACGGGUGAGUAAUGUCUGGGAAACUGCCCGAUGGAGGGGGAUAACUACUGGAAACGGUAGCUAGUACCGCAUAACGUCGCAAGACCAAAGAGGGGGACCUUCGGGCCUCUUGCCAUCGGAUGUGCCCAGAUGGGAUUAGCUAGUAGGUGGGGUAACGGCUCACCUAGGCGACGAUCCCUAGCUGGUCUGAGAGGAUGACCAGCCACACUGGAACUGAGACACGGUCCAG